UACGGAGGGUGCGAGCGUUAUCCGGAAUUACUGGGCUUAAAGGGUGCGUAGGCGGCUUUGUAAGUCAGGAGUGAAAGUUUGCGGCUCAACCGUAAAAUUGCUUUUGAUACUGCGAGGCUAGAAUUAGGAUGAGGUCAGCGGAAUGUGUCAUGUAGCGGUGAAAUGCAUAGAUAUGCCAUAGAACACCAAUUGCGAAGGCAGCUGGCUAGACCUGGAUUGACGCUGAGGCACGAAAGCGUGGGGAGCGAACAGG
This 253-nucleotide ribosomal RNA is filed under the name uncultured bacterium. RNAcentral's name for it is "partial 16S ribosomal RNA". It matches the Rfam family "Bacterial small subunit ribosomal RNA", at positions 524 to 776 of the family's 1533-position model. The record is from RNAcentral.